Molecule: long non-coding RNA, 4420 nt
Filed under: Homo sapiens (human)
Lineage: Eukaryota; Metazoa; Chordata; Mammalia; Primates; Hominidae
Description: HSALNT0257133
Source: RNAcentral
AAAAAAUAAAAAAAAUUAAAAAAGUGAUAUUAAUGUUAGGUUAUAUACAUAGUUUCCUGAACCCUACCAUAAUAUAUAAAGUUUUUUGUGUACAACAAUCUUAGAUUACCUAAAACAAAAUGAAAUUCUUUUUUCUUUUUCUUUUUUGAGAUGGAGUUUUGUUCUUGUUGCCCAGGCUCGAGCGCAAUGGCACGAUCUCGGCUCACUGCAACUUACGCCUCCCGGGUUCAAGCGAUUCUCCUGACUCACCCUCCUGAGUAGCUGGGAUUACAGGUGCUGCCACCAUGUCCAGCUAAUUUUUUGUAUUUUUAGUAGAGACGGGAUUUCAUUAUGAUGGCCAGGCUGGUCUCAAACUCCUGACCUGAGACAAUGCACCUGCUGCAGCCUCCCAAAGUGCUGAGAUUACAGGCGUAAGCCUACAUGCGCGGCUAAUGAAAUUUCUUUCUUAUGUUAUGCUUAACAUAGAAAAGUCCAAAAUAUAUCCAGACAGACAGGAAUUAUGACUGCCACUUUAAAAAACACAUGUUUUGGUGUGAUGCAAUGUUUUCUGUACAUGCAGAUGGAAAACCAAACUUUAAAGUUUUCAAAUCAUAAACAGGAGCAUUAUUUGUGACUCUAAGCUUUAAAUAUAUAAAACAAAUACAUUGUUUAUUCUUCUUAAUUUAAAAUAUAGUGGUUUUUGAACAAUUCAAGUAACGUUAGCCUAUCAAAAACUUCUUAAGCCAUAUAUAUGACAACCGCAUUUUCAAAAUUAUGAGAACUUAGAAAAAGUAAAUGAAACCCCUACAGUUUAGUUAAAAACAUAAUAGACCACUAUUUGUAUUUGCCCUUGUGAUGAGAAUCACCUUUAUUUAUUUAGGAACAAACAGAAAAUGCUGUGGUGGCAACUUGCUGGGUGGUGACUGUGAUGAGAUUUACUGCCUUGGAGAUGGUGGGAUCCAAUGGACCAGAAUCGUCAUCACCUUACCAUGUUCACGGCUGUAUUUUAUCUUCUAUCAUUUAUUUCCCAGACUCCUUCAUCAUUUCCAUUUCUAUCCUUGGUGAUGUUCAUGCAGCUUCACCCUCAGCUGCUCCAACAGUCUGUCCAUUUGGCUCAAGCUCUCCAGCAGUUUCUCUGGUUUCUUCUGAUCCUGGUGUCUGAGAUUUAUCAGCAGAGCCUUGUUUUCAAUGACCAUGGCUAUUGCUGCCUCCUGCCAGCAGGGAAGCUCCUGCAGCAGCCAAAGCACCCUCACCCUGGUACGCCUCCACUCUAACCCUUGGUCAUGGCCCAGCUUGGUGCGCAGAAACCCAUCAACCAGAGCAUUUCGUGCAGCUGGGCAAGCUUUCCUCGGCAUGUGGGGCAGUUUCCCCAUCAUCUUUGUGCUGCCACCUCACCUUUCAUCAGAGAGACAGAUAGGAUGAUGCAGGGGCUUGGAGAUACCAUGGAAGAGUCCAGGGGAAUGAGGAGCAGCUGGGCUGGGCAGCCUCAGGCCCAGUGCGUGGCAGUGCCAGGUCUGACCCACAGACCCUGACACAGUGAUGGAUGAAAGACGUACACUGACACAGAUAUUUUGCCUGUCACUGCAGCUAAGAGGCUGUGCUAACAGAAUGAGCAGCACCCACCUCCAUAAGCCGGUGAAGUUUACAUGUAUUUAUUACAGAUUAAAUGACAAAAGUCUCGAGUAAACACUAUUAGUGGGUAAUUAACAUUGUCAAUCCCCCAGUAGAGAGCAGUUCUGCCCACAAAUGAUCAAAGGUCGGUCUUAGGACAACAUGAGCAAACAAGGUCUUUAGAUAAGCUCCCCUACAUUCCUUUGUAUCUACAUCUGUCUAAUUACCGCUGGGAAAGAACAGCCACCUUUGGCUCAUUCCUUCCUGAAGAUUUGCAAAAACCUCCUGGCCUUCCAAGAAGGUUUGCAUCUUUCUCUAUAAGUUUUUCCACACCCUGACUGAACUCAUACAUGGAGGCACCCCUCAUGCCUGACCAGAGAUCAGCCACUGCCACCUGGGGGGGACAGAGGGGCCUAGGUUCCACCAGCCAGCCUCACUCUGCACAAGCAGAGCUUUUUCCUCUUAAAUUGUGCUCUACUGAAGUCAGAUUUCAUGUUCUUUCCUCAUGGGGCAAUUUUGAUGUAAUUAUAAUGGUCACAAAUGUGGAAACUAAAAAUUUUGCUAUAUUUUUACCUGCAAGUGCUAGGUUAACAUUAAACUUUCAAUAGUGCUUUCUGAAUUUUAUACUUUAUUAUUUUCUAUUUGAUUCUGUUAACUAUAGGAAAUAAAAAUAAUAAAAUCUUGAUUUGCAUAGUUUCACAUUUUACAAAGAAUAUGUAUGUAUUCAUUCUUUUAACUGAUAAAUGUGUGUUGACCACACACAAUAUGCUAUCCUUUUGGCAGCCUUAGAAAAUAAAAUAGAAAAGAAAGUAUUGGUCUCUACUCUCAUGAAACUUUCAGUGUAACUUCAUAAAAUCAUCACGCAUUCCUGAGAAGUGGAUACCUCUGAAUUUUCCUAUAAACCUCCUAACCUGGCUGGGCACAGUAGCUCAUGCCUGUAAUCCCAGCACUUUGGGAGGCUGAGGGAGGCAGAUAACCUAAGGUCAGGAGUUCAAGACCAGCCUGAUGAUCAUGGAGAUACCCCAUCUCUACUAAAAAUACAAAAUUAGCCAGGUGUGGUGGCAUAUGCCUGUAAUACCAGCUACUCGGGAGGCUGAGGCAGGAGAAUCACUUGAACCCAGGAGGCAUAGGUUACAGUGAGCUGAGAUUGUGCCAUUGCACUUGAGCCUGGGCAACAAGAGUGAAAUUCCAUCUCAAACAAACAAACAAACAAAAAACAACCUCCUAACCCAAAAGUGACCAGUAUCUGAAUUUCAUAUUGUCGUUUAUUUUAAGCAAUUUUUUUUUGACAGAGUCUUGCUCAGUUGCCAGGCUGGAGUGCAGUGGCAUGAUCUCAGCUCACUGCAACCUCCAUCUUCUGGGUUCAAGCAAUUCUCCUGCUUCAGCCUCCCGAGUAGCUGGGACUACAGGCAUGCAACACCAUGUCCAGCUAAUUUUUGUAAUUUUAGUAGAGACGGGGUUUCACCAUGCUGGCCAGACGGUCUCGAUCUCUUGACCUUGUGAUUCACCCACCUUGGCCUCCCAAAGUGCUGGGAUUACAGGCGUGAGCCAUGGUGCCUGGCCUACUUUAUGCAAUUUUAUCUAUAAACAAUAUACGUUUCAGUGUUGCUUGUUUUUUGACUUUAGAUCAAUUCUACAAGUUUUCAUCUGUGACUUGCUUUUUUAUUUACAAUUGUUUCUAUUUUUCCAUGUUGCUUUGCAUAGCUAUAGUUGUCCAUUUUUACUGCCGCAGUGUGAAUAUACAUCAAUUUAUAAACGAAUUCUACUGCCAGUGGUUAUUUGUGAAUUCCAAUUACUUUAUUUUUAUCAACUCUUGGAAUUACUAGACAUAUUUUUUGACAAAAUGGAGAAUCAGAAAAGUAUAUAAUUUAGAGUUUUAAUUAGCAUUUCCAUAGUCACUAAAUAAAUUGGUAUUUUUCAGAGGUUAAUUGGUCAUAUGUGUUUUAAGAUGUGCCAUCUGUCCAUUUUUAAUGUAUUUCAUUUCUUUGUAUAUUAAUACAUAUUCUGUAGUGCAUAUUUUCUAAAUACUAAUUUUUGUAAUAUGUGUUUUUUACAUAUUUUUUCUUGGUUAUGAUUUGCCUUUCCACCAUCUUUAUUCAAACAUGUUUUUCUAAGUUCUUGAUAAUCAAAAGUUUUUAAAAUUUCAUCUAAUUUAUAAAUAUGUUUAUGCAAGUUUUUAUAUUGUGCCAUGUUUAAGAAAUUGCUUUACACCCACAGUUAUCACAACAAUAUUAUCUUGUAUUUUCUCCUAAAAGUUUUAAAUUCUGAAUCUAUGUGAAAAAUUGUCGUGUCAGUUGCUGUGUGGGAAUCCAAUCUAUCCAGGUAGAACCAAUUGUUUAGGUACUAGAUUAUUGACUUGUUAUACUUUAAAGUAUAGUUGUAAAACUGAUCUCAUUUUAAUGCAUUGGCUGGGACCAUAAAUCCAAUGUUUAAUAAAAAUCUUGACAGUAGCAUCCUUAUAAUAUUUAUGAUCUCAAUAGUUUAUCAUGCACAUUUGCUGUAGUUUAUUUUAGAUACCUUCUAUAUUAAGGCACGUUGGCUCAUGCCUGCAAUCCCAGCACUUUGGGAGGAUGAGGCAGGUGGAUCACGAGGUCAAGAGAUUGAGAACAUCCUAGCCAACAUGGCAAAACCCCAUCUUUACUAAAAAUACAAAAAUUAGUUGGGCGUGGUGGCAUGCACCUGUAAUCCCAGCUACUUUGGAGGCUGAGGCAGGAGAAUUGCUUGAACCUGGGAGGCAGAGGUAGCAGUGAGCCGAGAUUGUGCCACUGCACUCCAGCCUGGGUUACAGAGCAAGACUCCAUCUCAAAAAAAAAAUAAUAAAAAUAUUUAA